RNAcentral lists this ribosomal RNA (253 nucleotides) under uncultured bacterium. RNAcentral's name for it is "partial 16S ribosomal RNA". It matches the Rfam family "Bacterial small subunit ribosomal RNA", at positions 524 to 776 of the family's 1533-position model. The record is from RNAcentral.
UACGAAGGGGGCUAGCGUUGUUCGGAAUUACUGGGCGUAAAGCGCGCGCAGGCGGUCUUCCAAGUCAGUGGUGAAAGCCCGGAGCUCAACUCCGGGACUGCCAUUGAAACUGUAAGACUUGAGGAUGAGAGAGGUGAGUGGAAUUCCCAGUGUAGAGGUGAAAUUCGUAGAUAUUGGGAAGAACACCGGUGGCGAAGGCGGCUCACUGGCUCAUUACUGACGCUCAGGCGCGACAGCGUGGGGAUCAAACAGG